Molecule: transfer RNA, 72 nt
Organism: Camelus ferus (Wild Bactrian camel)
Lineage: Eukaryota; Metazoa; Chordata; Mammalia; Artiodactyla; Camelidae
Rfam family: tRNA
About the family: Transfer RNA (tRNA) molecules are approximately 80 nucleotides in length.
Source: Rfam
GAUGGUGUAGCUCAGUGGUAGAGCGCAUGCCUAGCAUGCCCGGGGUCUUGGGUUCAAUCCCCAGCACCUCCA